This 296-nucleotide signal recognition particle RNA is filed under the name Carlito syrichta (Philippine tarsier). RNAcentral describes it as "Metazoan signal recognition particle RNA (ENSTSYG00000033718.1)". It matches the Rfam family "Metazoan signal recognition particle RNA". From Rfam's summary of the family: The signal recognition particle (SRP) is a universally conserved ribonucleoprotein. It is involved in the co-translational targeting of proteins to membranes. The eukaryotic SRP consists of a 300-nucleotide 7S RNA and six proteins: SRPs 72, 68, 54, 19, 14, and 9. The record is from RNAcentral. Lineage: Eukaryota; Metazoa; Chordata; Mammalia; Primates; Tarsiidae.
GCAGGGCGUGGUGGCACAUGCCUGUAGUCCCAGUUACCAGGGAGGUUGAAGCUGGAGGAUCGCUUGAGUCCAGGAGUUCUGGGCUAAAGUGUGCUAGCUGAUCGGGUGUCCGCACUAAGUUUGGCAUCAAUAUGCUGACCUUCUGGAAGCGGGGCACCACCAGGUUGCCUAAGGAGGGGUGAACUGGCCCAGGUCAGAAAUAGAGCAGGUCAAAACUCCCGUGCUGAUCAGUAAUAACUGAGGGCCUAGCUGUGGCUAGAAGACUAUCAGACUGUAUCAAAAUUGGAUCUGUUUCU